CACAUGCAAGUCUCAGCGCCCCGCAAGGGGAGCGGCAGACGGGUGAGUAACGCGUGGGAACCUACCUGAAGCCACGGAACAACUCCGGGAAACUGGAGCUAAUACCGUAUGUGCCCGAAAGGGGAAAGAUUCAUCGCCUUCAGAUGGGCCCGCGUCAGAUUAGCUAGUUGGUGGGGUAAUGGCCCACCAAGGCGACGAUCUGUAGCUGGUCUGAGAGGAUGAUCAGCCACACUGGGACUGAGACACGGCCCAGACUCCUACGGGAGGCAGCAGUGGG
RNAcentral lists this ribosomal RNA (277 nucleotides) under uncultured Hyphomicrobiales bacterium. RNAcentral's name for it is "uncultured Rhizobiales bacterium partial 16S ribosomal RNA". It matches the Rfam family "Bacterial small subunit ribosomal RNA", at positions 52 to 358 of the family's 1533-position model. The record is from RNAcentral. Lineage: Bacteria; Pseudomonadati; Pseudomonadota; Alphaproteobacteria; Hyphomicrobiales.